Molecule: ribosomal RNA, 274 nt
Filed under: uncultured bacterium
Lineage: Bacteria
Description: partial 16S ribosomal RNA
Rfam family: Bacterial small subunit ribosomal RNA
Source: RNAcentral
AUACGGAGGGUGCAAGCGUUAUCCGGAAUCAUUGGGUUUAAAGGGUCCGCAGGCGGAUUAAUAAGUCAGUGGUGAAAUCCUCUCGCUCAACGAGAGAACUGCCAUUGAAACUGUUAGCCUUGAAUUCGGUCGAAGUAGGCGGAAUGUGUCAUGUAGCGGUGAAAUGCAUAGAUAUGACACAGAACACCGAUAGCGAAGGCAGCUUACUAGACCUGGAUUGACGCUCAUGGACGAAAGCGUGGGGAGCGAACAGGAUUAGAAACCCCAGUAGUCC